Molecule: ribosomal RNA, 495 nt
Filed under: uncultured bacterium
Lineage: Bacteria
Description: partial 16S ribosomal RNA
Rfam family: Bacterial small subunit ribosomal RNA
Source: RNAcentral
GACGAACGCUGGCGGCGUGCCUAAUACAUGCAAGUAGAACGCUGAAGGAGGAGCUUGCUUCUCCGGAUGAGUUGCGAACGGGUGAGUAACGCGUAGGUAACCUGCCUGGUAGCGGGGGAUAACUAUUGGAAACGAUAGCUAAUACCGCAUAAGAGUAGAUGUCGCAUGACAUUUGCUUAAAAGGUGCAACUGCACCACUACCAGAUGGACCUGCGUUGUAUUAGCUAGUUGGUGAGGUAACGGCUCACCAAGGCAACGAUACAUAGCCGACCUGAGAGGGUGAUCGGCCACACUGGGACUGAGACACGGCCCAGACUCCUACGGGAGGCAGCAGUAGGGAAUCUUCGGCAAUGGACGGAAGUCUGACCGAGCAACGCCGCGUGAGUGAAGAAGGUUUUCGGAUCGUAAAGCUCUGUUGUAAGAGAAGAACGAGGGUGAGAGUGGAAAGUUCACACUGUGACGGUAUCUUACCAGAAAGGGACGGCUAACUACGUG